Homo sapiens (human) is the source of this 1953-nucleotide long non-coding RNA. Ensembl annotates it as glucosylceramidase beta 1 like, pseudogene. Its record names the gene GBA1LP. The record is from Ensembl. NCBI's taxonomy places the organism in Eukaryota, Metazoa, Chordata, Mammalia, Primates, Hominidae.
UAGUCAUCACAUGACCCAUCCACAUUGGGAAGCCAGAAUUACUUGCAGGAGUAACCUAGUGCCUAUAGCUAUGGCAGGUACCUGCAUCCUUGUUUUUGUUUAGUGGAUCCUCUAUCCUUCAGAGACUCUGGAACCCCUGUGCUCUUCUCCUCAUCUAGUGACCCUGAGGUGAUGGAGUUUUCAAGUCCUUCCAGAGAGGAAUGUCCCAAGCCUUCGGGUAGGGUGCCUUCAGCCGCUACAAGAGCAGAAGCAGUGGGCAUUGGAUGGAGCUGAGUACAGGACCAUACAGGCUAAUUGCACCGGCACAGGAAUCGGAUAUAACAUCAUCUGGGUACCCAUGGCCAGCUGUGACUUCUCCAUCCGCACCUACACCUAUGCAGACACCCCUGAUGAUUUCCAGUUGCACAACUUCAGCCUCCCAGAGGAAGAUACCAAGCUCAAGAUACCCCUGAUUCACCGAGCCCUGCAGUUGGCCCAGCGUCCCGUUUCACUCCUUGCCAGCCCCUGGACAUCACCCACUCGGCUCAAGACCAGGGGAGCGGGGAAUGGGAAGGGGCCACUCAAGGGACAGCCCAGAGACAUCUACCACCAGACCUGGGCCAGAUACAUUGUGAAGUUCCUGGAUGCCUAUGCUGAGCACAAGUUACAGUUCUGGGCAGUGACAGCUGAAAAUGAGCCUUCUGCUGGGCUGUUGAGUGGAUACCCCUUCCAGUGCCUGGGCUUCACCCCUGAACAUCAGCGAGACUUCAUUGCCCGUGACCUAGGUCCUACCCUUGCCAACGGUACUCACCACAAUGUCCGCCUACUCAUGCUGGAUGACCAACGCUUGCUGCUGCCCCACUGGGCAAAGGUGGUACUGACAGACCCAGAAGCAGCUAAGUAUGUUCAUGGUAUUGCUGUACAUUGGUACCUGGACUUUCUGGCUCCAGCCAAAGCCACCCUAAGGGAGACACACCACCUGUUCCCCAACACCAUGCUCUUUGCCUCAGAGGCCUGUGUGGGUUCCAAGUUCUGGGAGCAGAGUGUGCGGCUAGGCUCCUGGGAUCGAGGGAUGCAGUACAGCCACAGCAUCAUCACAAACCUCCUGUACCAUGUGGUCGGCUGGACCGACUGGAACCCAUCAUUGUAGACAUCACCAAGCACACGUUUUACAAACAGCCCAUGUUCUACCACCUUGGCCACUUCAGCAAGUUCAUUCCUGAGGGCUCCCAGAGAGUGGGGCUGGUUGCCAGUCAGAAGAACGACCCGGACGCAGUGGCACUGAUGCAUCCCGAUGGCUCUGCUGUUGUGGUCGUGCUAAACCGCUCCUCUAAGGAUGUGCCUCUUACCAUCAAGGAUCCUGCUGUGGGCUUCCUGGAGACAAUCUCACCUGGCUACUCCAUUCACACCUACCUGUGGCGUCGCCAGUGAUGGAGCAGAUACUCAAGGAGGCACUGGGCUCAGCCUGGGCAUUAAAGGGACAGAGUCAGCUCACACGCUGUCUGUGACUAAAGAGGGCACAGCAGGGCCAGUGUGAGCUUACAGCGACGUAAGCCCAGGGGCAAUGGUUUGGGUGACUCACUUUCCCCUCUAGGUGGUGCCAGGGGCUGGAGGCCCCUAGAAAAAGAUCAGUAAGCCCCAGUGUCCCCCCAGCCCCCAUGCUUAUGUGAACAUGCGCUGUGUGCUGCUUGCUUUGGAAACUGGGCCUGGGUCCAGGCCUAGGGUGAGCUCACUGUCCGUACAAACACAAGAUCAGGGCUGAGGGUAAGGAAAAGAAGAGACUAGGAAAGCUGGGCCCAAAACUGGAGACUGUUUGUCUUUCCUGGAGAUGCAGAACUGGGCCCGUGGAGCAGCAGUGUCAGCAUCAGGGCGGAAGCCUUAAAGCAGCAGCGGGUGUGCCCAGGCACCCAGAUGAUUCCUAUGGCACCAGCCAGGAAAAAUGGCAGCUCUUAAAGGAGAAAAUGUUUGAGCCCA